GGAUGCAUUGCUGGGCAAUACUUCUUUAGCAGUUAGCAUGCACCAUGCUACCUUUAACUGCCAAAGGAGAUUUGCCCUGUAAUUCAGCU
Helianthus annuus (common sunflower) is the source of this 89-nucleotide non-coding RNA. NCBI's taxonomy places the organism in Eukaryota, Viridiplantae, Streptophyta, Magnoliopsida, Asterales, Asteraceae. The record is from Rfam.